Long non-coding RNA from Brassica oleracea var. oleracea, 466 nucleotides. RefSeq lists it as uncharacterized. The record is from RefSeq and is a predicted model, not a curated record. NCBI's taxonomy places the organism in Eukaryota, Viridiplantae, Streptophyta, Magnoliopsida, Brassicales, Brassicaceae. The transcript has 3 exons.
UCUCACUGAUGCAGAGAGCACUGUGCUCAGCCGUAAGCUUGACCAGCAAUCAUUUUGAGAGCUUAGUCAUUGCCGAUGGUUGCCCAAAUCACCUCCUUUUUUCUUGGUGAUACAAUCUCUCCACCGGUAAAGAAUCAGAGCAUAACCCAAUAAGCAUCUCAAGAACACUCUAAUCAACGGAGAGCAGACUCUUUGUAGGGGGAACAUCGAGAUUACUGAAUCAGACUAGAUGAUUAGAAGAAAUCCAACAACAACAUUAUGAAUGAAGUAAUAAAAGGUUGCCUUCUGGAUUGGUCUUUUGCAGGAUGCAAUCGUUUAUCAUCGAAGCUAUACAUGGUUGUGUUUCUCGGGUGCUGUGGUUGAUCUCUGGGCAAAUGCAGUUUCUUACCUGUCUCCAAGAAGCACUUCUCUUGCAGAAGGUGUUUUCUUAAGACGAACGUCUCUUGACAAUCUGGUGCCAUUACAA